RNAcentral lists this ribosomal RNA (725 nucleotides) under Dictyocoela sp. EM-2105. RNAcentral's name for it is "partial small subunit ribosomal RNA". It matches the Rfam family "Microsporidia small subunit ribosomal RNA", at positions 100 to 786 of the family's 1311-position model. Lineage: Eukaryota; Fungi; Microsporidia. The record is from RNAcentral.
GAUUCAUUUGUUCUCCUGGGACGGACAACAUCGGGAAACUGAUGGGAAAACGUCUAAGUUGCAGUUAAUUGACUGUGACGUAAACCUUUGUGUGCAGGAGAGUAAGAUGCCAUCCUAUCAGUUAGUAAGUAGGGUAAGGGCCUACUUAGACGAAGACGGGUACGGGGAAUGAGGGUUUGAUUCCGGAGAGGGAGCCUGAGAGAUGGCUACCAGGACCAAGGUCAGCAGCAGGCGCGAAAAUUAUCGAAGCCCGCCUAGGGGCGAUAGUGAGGAGACGUGUAUAACGAAGUACGUGUAAAGAACGUGCUAAUAACUGGAGGUCAAGUCUGGUGCCAGCAUCCGCGGUAAUUCCAGCUCCAGGGGUGUCUAUGAUGAUUGCUGCGAUUAAAAAGUCCGUAGUCAAUCUGACUGACUGACCUGCAAUGUGAUUGAUUAAAGAACGAGCAGGGUUAGGAAAGCAGAGAAUUAGGAGCGACCGAGGGCUAGAGUAUUGAAUGGCGAGAGGUGAAAUUUGAUGACCCAUUCAGGAGUGACAAAGGCGAAGGCACUAGUCAAGGGCGAAUCCGAUGAUCAAGGACGUAGGCUAGAGUUUCGAAAACGAUUAGAGACCGGAGUAGUUCUAGCAGUAAACUAUGCCGACGCCGUGGUAUCAACAAUGGUAUUGCGGAAGAGAAAUCAAGUAAGGCUUGGGGAGAGUACGCGCGCAAGCGAUAAAUUUAAAGGUG